RNAcentral lists this long non-coding RNA (950 nucleotides) under Piliocolobus tephrosceles (Ugandan red Colobus). RNAcentral's name for it is "lncRNA (ENSPTEG00000021132.1)". The record is from RNAcentral. Lineage: Eukaryota; Metazoa; Chordata; Mammalia; Primates; Cercopithecidae.
GCAUGUGUCAUAUAUUUUAUUAUUUUUUUAUAAACACAUUUAGGAUAUGCCGGCUUGGAUUGAAGAUAUGAUUAUAUUGUCAAACAAAAGUAAAGGCACUUUAGAGUCGUUAGGUUUAGAAAACCUACCAGAUUUCAACGAAUGCAAAAAGAUUAGCAAUUUUCAGGAACAAAUUCUAUGCAUAGUUGAAGCACUUGAAGACAUUAAGGACACUUACCAAAAUGCUAAAGACAUAACUUCACUAACAGCAAGAGUUUUGGCUGGAGGAAGACUAGCCGUACGGGCUUUAUCAAGACUGCAAACUUUGGCCUCAACCAUUGAUAACAAACAGCUAAUGAAAAAAAUAGGAACACCAAUGGCUACACUGAUAUUACUGCAAAGAGAAACUACAUCAGAUAGAACCAGGUGGUUAUGUGGAUCUAUUUUAACUCUGUUAACUGAUUUACCAGUAGUAUCAGACAUAGCGGAUGUAAAUACAGGGUCGUAUGGUCACGUAAACGUCAUCAUGCCCAGACAGUCUAGAAUUAGAAAUCCUGAUAGAACAAUUUUGAGGCUAAGAGAAGGUGUUUCACCUUCAGAUCUAAUAAAUGGAUAUACAUCAAGUUAAAAAAAAGAAAAAAAAAAAAGACCUACUUUGAAAAAUAAGUAUACAUUCCUCUUUCACUUACAUAUUUAUGUAUAUAUAUUUUUGUGUGUACUUGUAUAUAUUUAAAUAUACAAUUUAAACUUGUAAGUUUUCGUAUAUAUUUUUAUCUAUACAUGCCUUGAUAUAUAUACAUAUUUUUUUCAGUUCUAGCGAAUUAUACAAUAUAAACCUUUUCCGAAGGAUUGUUUUAUUUUUUUUUUAUAAAUUGUUUUGUUUUAUUUUUUUAUUUAAAAAGAAAAAGUAAAAACACAUUGUUUCACAUUUUUAAAAUAAAAAUGUUUAAUUUUUUUAAUUUUUUGUUUUA